This 431-nucleotide ribosomal RNA is filed under the name uncultured bacterium. Its description in RNAcentral is "partial 16S ribosomal RNA". It matches the Rfam family "Bacterial small subunit ribosomal RNA", at positions 29 to 507 of the family's 1533-position model. The record is from RNAcentral.
AACGAACGCUGGCGGCAGGCUUAACACAUGCAAGUCGAACGCCCCGCAAGGGGAGUGGCAGACGGGUGCGUAACGCGUGGGAACAUACCCUUUUCUACGGAAUAGCUCUGGGAAACUGGAAUUAAUACCGUAUACGCCCUACGGGGGAAAGAUUUAUCGGGGAAGGAUUGGCCCGCGUUGGAUUAGCUAGUUGGUGGGGUAAAGGCCUACCAAGGCGACGAUCCAUAGCUGGUCUGAGAGGAUGAUCAGCCACAUUGGGACUGAGACACGGCCCAAACUCCUACGGGAGGCAGCAGUGGGGAAUAUUGGAAAAUGGGCGCAAGCCUGAUCCAGCCAUGCCGCGUGAGUGAUGAAGGCCUUAGGGUUGUAAAGCUCUUUCACCGAUGAAGAUAAUGACGGUAGUCGGAGAAGAAGCCCCGGCUAACUUCGUG